This 1317-nucleotide long non-coding RNA is filed under the name Equus caballus (horse). RNAcentral's name for it is "lncRNA (ENSECAG00000053004.1)". The record is from RNAcentral. Lineage: Eukaryota; Metazoa; Chordata; Mammalia; Perissodactyla; Equidae.
GUGGAGCGGUUGUGCUGUGGUAAACAGUGCGGCCCCAUGGAUACGGGUCUGGUUUGCAGGUUGGCGAGAAGCAACAUCAAUUACAUGCAGAUCAAUUUAAUCACAAACACCAGAGCAGAUUGCAAACAAAGACUCCCAGAGCCGCCGGGGCCUGCAGGACUGCCAGGGAGGCAGGCCCAUCUUCCAGGGACCCUCUUGGAGAUGCUCCUACUGAUGGCAGCCUCCGUGUUGGUGAAGGGUCCUGGAACCGCCCCCAGCUCUCCUGCUAAAGCAUGUCCUGAGUUUGCUCGCUUCCCUCUUUGUCCUCUGCUGCCACCAGGCCUACGCUGCCUGGAGCCCAGACUACGGAGAAACCCCCAGAGAGCGUGCCGGCCGUCCCUGCUCCCACGCUCGCCGCCCCAAUCCACUCUCCACAGGCCCACCAACGUGCUCUUCUAAACAGACGUCAGGUCUCCAUACACCUGUGUCUAAAGCCUUCCCGCGUCUUCCCAGCGCACCUGGAAGGACAAGGCUCUGCAGGAGUGGCCCAGGCCGCCCCUCCAGCCCCUCUCGGCUCCUCUCCCACUCCAUCAGCUGUGCUCCAGAGACUCCGGUCUGCCCUCUGUUUCUUGAACACACCAACUUUAUUCCUACCUCAGGGCCUUUGCUAAGGCUGCUGCCUCUGCCUGGACUGCUCUUUGUGCCUCCCCUGUAUCUUCACAUGGUGGGACACGAUAUGAUGUGAUGUGAUGUGUUGUCAUAAAAUAUGUCAUAUAUAUCUAGAUAGCUCUGUAUUUAUAUCUAUAGCUAUCUUAUCUUACACCCGCCUCAGCUCAGAUGUUACCUCCUCAGAGAAGCCUUCCCUGACUUCCUACCUCACGUCACUUCCCAGCCCUUGUCUCCCUCCCGCCACGGCCAUUCUCCAUCACCUCACAGUGGCCUCUUUUCCUCACAGCCUGAUCUCAUUUGUGUACGUGCUCUUGUCCCCUUCCCACCAGAAGGCUGGCUCCACAGGGGCACAGACUCCCCUCUCCUGCUCACUGCUCUGUCCACAGCAUUUUGAGCAGCGCCUGGCUCACAGCAGGUGCUCAGAAAAAGUUGGUGAAUGCAUGCAUGAAUGAAAGAGCUCCAAGAAGGGAGCUCAGUGGCAACAAGGUCACAGGAGUGGAGACUAUUCUUCUUGCUGCUGGAUAUUCUCUAGGACCCCGCUUGCUGAAAGGAGAAAGAAGCAAGUGUGCUCUCUGGAGCCCCGUCUGCCCAAGCUCACCCUGAGAUCCAGGCGAGCCCAGGUCUCUGAAGCUCCCACACUGCUCGCCCGUCGCAGACCCAGGAGAUGAC